AGGGAAUCUUCGGCAAUGGACGGAAGUCUGACCGAGCAACGCCGCGUGAGUGAAGAAGGUUUUCGGAUCGUAAAGCUCUGUUGUAAGAGAAGAACGAGUGUGAGAGUGGAAAGUUCACACUGUGACGGUAUCUUACCAGAAAGGGACGGCUAACUACGUGCCAGCAGCCGCGGUAAUACGUAGGUCCCGAGCGUUGUCCGGAUUUAUUGGGCGUAAAGCGAGCGCAGGCGGUUAGAUAAGUCUGAAGUUAAAGGCUGUGGCUUAACCAUAGUACGCUUUGGAAACUGUUUAACUUGAGUGCAAGAGGGGAGAGUGGAAUUCCAUGUGUAGCGGUGAAAUGCGUAGAUAUAUGGAGGAACACCGGUGGCGAAAGCGGCUCUCUGGCUUGUAACUGACGCUGAGGCUCGAAAGCGUGGGGAGCAAACAGGAUUAGAUACCCUGGUAGUCCACGCCGUAAACGAUGAGUGCUAGGUGUUAGACCCUUUCCGGGGUUUAGUGCCGAAGCUAACGCAUUAAGCACUCCGCCUGGGGAGUACGACCGCAAGGUUG
This 549-nucleotide ribosomal RNA is filed under the name uncultured bacterium. RNAcentral describes it as "bacterial SSU rRNA". It matches the Rfam family "Bacterial small subunit ribosomal RNA", at positions 356 to 896 of the family's 1533-position model. The record is from RNAcentral.